GAAUGGGAUCCUAACGUUCCCAUAGCAAACUGCUCAGUAACACAUGAUCAACUUGCCCUAUGGAGAGAAAUAACCUCGGGAAACUGAGGAUAAUGUCUCAUAGUUGAAAAGGCUUGGAAAAGUUUUUCAAUUAAAGGAGUAAGGAAAAUGGUCCUUGUUUGCCAUAGGAUAGGAUCGUGGUCGAUUAUGGUUGUUGGUGAGGUAAUGGCUCACCAAGCCGAUAAUCGAUAGGGGCCGUGAGAGCGGGAGCCCCGAGAUGGGUACUGAGACAACGACCCAGGCCUUACGAGGCGCAGCAGGCGCGAAACCUCCGCAAUACACGAAAGUGUGACGGGGUUACCCAAAGUGUCCAUUAAUGGACUGUGGUUGGUGAGUAAUUACUCCCAUCUAGAAAGGAGAGGGCAAGGCUGGUGCCAGCCGCCGCGGUAAAACCAGCUCUUCAAGUGGUCGGGAUAAUUAUUGGGCUUAAAGUGUCCGUAGCCGGUUUAGUAAGUUCCUGGUAAAAUCGGGUAGCUUAACUAUCUGCAUGCUAGGAAUACUGCUAUAC
RNAcentral lists this ribosomal RNA (547 nucleotides) under uncultured archaeon. RNAcentral's name for it is "bacterial SSU rRNA". It matches the Rfam family "Archaeal small subunit ribosomal RNA", at positions 60 to 592 of the family's 1478-position model. The record is from RNAcentral.